Athene cunicularia (burrowing owl) is the source of this 593-nucleotide long non-coding RNA. RefSeq lists it as uncharacterized. Lineage: Eukaryota; Metazoa; Chordata; Aves; Strigiformes; Strigidae. The record is from RefSeq and is a predicted model, not a curated record. The transcript has 3 exons.
AAAAGGAACUAGGAGCUCCAUAUAAGAGGAUCUAAUAGGUAUCAGAUUUGUCUCCAAUGGAUUAAAAGCAGGAGUUAGACACUAAUCUCUCCUGGUUCCUUUUGCAUAUUCUCCCAGAAGGCAGUCUGUAUGACCUCAGGGUAGUCAUCGCAGAUUAGCACUGCGUACUCAUUGGAUUCAGAGAAGUGAAGGGUUCAGUAAACCUACAGAAUGAAUUAAGCAGAAUGUUACAACUCCUUGCAGAAUCCACUUUCAUGACAGCAUAACAAAUCAAGGUUAUCAAUGUAGGACCAAGCAUGGCUCCAAAUACAAACUUAGAGAUAACGAUACCUAAUGCUUUUCCACCCAAUGACUUCAAAUUAUUCAACACAUUGGAUAUCAAGGCAACAGCUGGACAGUGCUUCUAUAAUAAAUAUCCAAGAAACUGUAGUGCAGCAGAAAAAAAUGAAAACAUAUUAAAGGAUGUUGUCACUUUCUUUUCAAAACCUGCUAAGAGACAAAUGGUAAGGUCUGUCUUUUGGCAUCAGUGAGAAAUAAAUGACUCUCUGAAGGAGCCUUAAGACAGUGGUGUAUCUUACAUAAUGAGGUCACCA